UAUUGCACAAUGGGCGAAAGCCUGAUGCAGCGACGCCGCGUGAGUGAAGAAGUAUCUCGGGAUGUAAAGCCCCAUCAGCAGGGAAGAAAAUGACGGUACCUGACUAAGAAGCCCCGGCUAACUACCUGCCAGCAGCCGCGGUCAUACGUAGGGGGCAAGCGUUAUCCGGAUUUACUGGGUGUAAAGGGAGCGUAGACGGAAAGGCAAGUCAGAAGUGAAAGCCCAAGGCUCAACCAUGGGACUGCUUUUGAAACUGUCAAACUAGAGUACGGGAGAGGUAAGAGGAAUUCCUAGUGUAGCGGUGAAAUGCGUAGAUAUUAGGAGGAACACCAGUGGCGAAGGCGUCUUACUGGACCGAAACUGACGUUGAGGCUCGAAAGCGUGGGGAGCAAACAG
Molecule: ribosomal RNA, 396 nt
Filed under: uncultured bacterium
Lineage: Bacteria
Description: bacterial SSU rRNA
Rfam family: Bacterial small subunit ribosomal RNA
Source: RNAcentral